AUACGGAGGGUGCAAGCGUUAAUCGGAAUUACUGGGCGUAAAGCGUGCGUAGGCGGCUCGUUAAGUCAGAUGUGAAAGCCCCGGGCUCAACCUGGGAACUGCAUUUGAAACUGGCGAGCUAGAGUAUGGUAGAGGGGGGUAGAAUUUCUGGUGUAGCGGUGAAAUGCGUAGAUAUCAGAAGGAAUACCAGUGGCGAAGGCGGCCCCCUGGCCCAAUACUGACGCUGAGGUACGAAAGCGUGGGUAGCGAACGGGAUUAGAUACCCCAGUAGUCC
RNAcentral lists this ribosomal RNA (274 nucleotides) under uncultured bacterium. RNAcentral describes it as "partial 16S ribosomal RNA". It matches the Rfam family "Bacterial small subunit ribosomal RNA", at positions 523 to 796 of the family's 1533-position model. The record is from RNAcentral.